AGACAGAGUGUCUGUCCUUAGGCAAAUCUUCAAAGUACAAACAAUAUAAAGCAUUAUUUAUACCCUUUUGUUACAUAUAGAUGUGUCCUGUUUAUACAUUUUUCUUCCCAUUAUCUUACUUGUGAUGAAUGUUUU
This is a long non-coding RNA of Chelonia mydas (Green sea turtle), 135 nucleotides long. RefSeq lists it as uncharacterized. The record is from RefSeq and is a predicted model, not a curated record. The transcript has 3 exons. NCBI's taxonomy places the organism in Eukaryota, Metazoa, Chordata, Testudines, Cheloniidae.